CGCUGGCGGCGUGCUUAACACAUGCAAGUCGAACGAUGAACCAGGGCUUGCCCUGGGGAUUAGUGGCGAACGGGUGAGUAACACGUGGGCAACCUGCCCCAGACACCGGGAUAACCUCUCGAAAGAGUGGCUAAUACCGGAUAUGACCACUUCGGGCAUCCGACGGUGGUGGAAAGGAUUCUGGUCUGGGAUGGGCCCGCGGCCUAUCAGCUAGUUGGUGGGGUAAUGGCCUACCAAGGCGACGACGGGUAGCCGGCCUGAGAGGGCGACCGGCCACACUGGGACUGAGACACGGCCCAGACUCCUACGGGAGGCAGCAGUGGGGAAUAUUGCGCAAUGGGCGAAAGCCUGACGCAGCGACGCCGCGUGAGGGACGAAGGUCUUCGGAUUGUAAACCUCUUUCAGCAGGGACGAAGCGAAAGUGACUGCACCUGCAGAAGAAGCACCGGCUAACUACGUG
Molecule: ribosomal RNA, 460 nt
Filed under: uncultured bacterium
Lineage: Bacteria
Description: bacterial SSU rRNA
Rfam family: Bacterial small subunit ribosomal RNA
Source: RNAcentral